UUGGGACAGAAAGUAGGCGGAGGGGUGUAAAGCCCUCAACCCCUAAACAAAGCAAGAGGAUCUCCAGACUGCAGACCUUGACUCAUGAAGCUGAGACACUCAGGAUGACCUUGUUCUCACUUAGCAUUACACUCACAGCUGGCAGGAUCUGGGCCAAGAGAGCAUUAAGUGUCUUCCUUACCUCCCUGGAAGUUUAAGCUGUAAAGAUGAUUGUCAUCGCAGAAGGAAUUUGUAGUCCUGUAUCUUUAAGAGCAUCCCUCUUGUUUCUCAGGCUGCAAAACAGGAGGAAGCUUAAUACAAUGCUCUAUACUGCAGCACCAUCCUCUGGAUGGGGAUGCAGUUUGAAGAAGAAGGGAGAAUGAGGACGAGUCAUCACAUGCUCUUGUGUCCACGACUUCCCAGACAUGAUGGGGAUACCCUCAGAUGGUGAACCAAAAUAAACCCCUUCUUUCCUGACUUGCUCCUGUCAGGGUGUUUCAUCACAGCGACAUGACAAUAAAUCCCAAGCCACUCUCAAUAAAUCACUCUCAUGCUACAUAUUCUAAUGGAAGAGUCUACCCUACUUAAGAGUAACCUUUUUUUUUGUUGUUGUUGUUGUUGCUAUUUUAGUUUUCAAUAUCAUUUUUCUUCCUUUGUUAUCCUGCUCAAAAU
Molecule: long non-coding RNA, 651 nt
Filed under: Mus pahari (shrew mouse)
Lineage: Eukaryota; Metazoa; Chordata; Mammalia; Rodentia; Muridae
Description: hyaluronan synthase 2, opposite strand (MGP_PahariEiJ_G0012210.1)
Source: RNAcentral